UACAGAGGGUGCGAGCGUUGUCCGGAAUCACUGGGCGUAAAGGGCGCGUAGGUGGCGACCCAAGUCCAUGGUGAAAGCUCGUCGCUCAACGACGAGUCGGCCACGGAUACUGGGUUGCUUGAGCACUGUAGAGGCUAAUGGAAUUCCGGGUGUAGCGGUGGAAUGCGUAGAGAUCCGGAAGAACACCGGUGGCGAAGGCGGUUAGCUGGGCAGUUGCUGACACUGAGGCGCGACAGCGUGGGGAGCAAACAGG
RNAcentral lists this ribosomal RNA (253 nucleotides) under uncultured bacterium. RNAcentral's name for it is "partial 16S ribosomal RNA". It matches the Rfam family "Bacterial small subunit ribosomal RNA", at positions 524 to 776 of the family's 1533-position model. The record is from RNAcentral.